GCGCCCGUAGCUCAGGGGACAGAGCAGCGGACUUCUAAUCCGCUGGACGCAGGUUCGAAUCCUGCCGGGCGCG
Molecule: transfer RNA, 73 nt
Filed under: Rubrobacter sp.
Lineage: Bacteria; Bacillati; Actinomycetota; Rubrobacteria; Rubrobacterales; Rubrobacteraceae
Also listed under: 3 other names
Description: tRNA-Arg
Rfam family: tRNA
About the family: Transfer RNA (tRNA) molecules are approximately 80 nucleotides in length. Their secondary structure includes four short double-helical elements and three loops (D, anti-codon, and T loops). Further hydrogen bonds mediate the characteristic L-shaped molecular structure. tRNAs have two regions of fundamental functional importance: the anti-codon, which is responsible for specific mRNA codon recognition, and the 3' end, to which the tRNAs corresponding amino acid is attached (by aminoacyl-tRNA synthetases). tRNAs cope with the degeneracy of the genetic code in two manners: having more than one tRNA (with a specific anti-codon) for a particular amino acid; and 'wobble' base-pairing, i.e. permitting non-standard base-pairing at the 3rd anti-codon position.
Source: RNAcentral